This 402-nucleotide ribosomal RNA is filed under the name uncultured bacterium. RNAcentral describes it as "bacterial SSU rRNA". It matches the Rfam family "Bacterial small subunit ribosomal RNA", at positions 355 to 774 of the family's 1533-position model. The record is from RNAcentral.
UGGGGAAUAUUGCACAAUGGGGGAAACCCUGAUGCAGCGACGCCGCGUGAGUGAAGAAGUAUUUCGGUAUGUAAAGCUCUAUCAGCAAGGAAGAUAAUGACGGUACUUGACUAAGAAGCCCCGGCUAACUACGUGCCAGCAGCCGCGGUAAUACGUAGGGGGCAAGCGUUAUCCGGAUUUACUGGGUGUAAAGGGAGCGUAGGUGGCAUGUUAAGUCAGAUGUGAAAGCCCAGGGCUCAACCCUGGGAUUGCAUUUGAAACUAGCAAGCUAGAGUGCAGGAGAGGUAAGUGGAAUUCCUAGUGUAGCGGUGAAAUGCGUAGAUAUUAGGAGGAACACCAGUGGCGAAGGCGGCUUACUGGACUGUAACUGACACUGAGGCUCGAAAGCGUGGGGAGCAAACA